Molecule: ribosomal RNA, 318 nt
Filed under: uncultured bacterium
Lineage: Bacteria
Description: bacterial SSU rRNA
Rfam family: Bacterial small subunit ribosomal RNA
Source: RNAcentral
GAUGAACGCUAGCGGCAGGCUUAACACAUGCAAGUCGAGGGGCAGCAUGGGACGGAGAUUCGUCGAAGUCCUGAUGGCGACCGGCGCAAGGGUGCGUAACGCGUGAGCAACUUGCCCGUUUCUGGGGAAUAACCGGUGGAAACGCCGACUAAUACCCCAUGGCAUCAACGAGAGGCAUCUUUUGUUGAUUAAAGAAUUUCGGAAACGGAUAGGCUCGCGUGACAUUAGCUAGAUGGCGGGGUAACGGCCCACCAUGGCGACGAUGUCUAGGGGUUCUGAGAGGAAGGUCCCCCACACUGGAACUGAGACACGGUCCAG